AGUGAACGCUGGCGGUAGGCCUAACACAUGCAAGUCGAACGGCAGCACAGUAAGAGCUUGCUCUUACGGGUGGCGAGUGGCGGACGGGUGAGGAAUACAUCGGAAUCUACUUUUUCGUGGGGGAUAACGUAGGGAAACUUACGCUAAUACCGCAUACGACCUACGGGUGAAAGCAGGGGAUCUUCGGACCUUGCGCGAUUGAAUGAGCCGAUGUCGGAUUAGCUAGUUGGCGGGGUAAAGGCCCACCAAGGCGACGAUCCGUAGCUGGUCUGAGAGGAUGAUCAGCCACACUGGAACUGAGACACGGUCCAGACUCCUACGGGAGGCAGCAGUGGGGAAUAUUGGACAAAGGGCGCAAGCCUGAUCCAGCCAUACCGCGUGGAUGAAGAAGGCCUUCGGGUUGUAAAGCCCUUUUGUUGGGAAAGAAAAGCAGCAGGUUAAUACCCCGCUGUUCUGACGGUACCCAAAGAAUAAGCACCGGCUAACUUCGUG
Molecule: ribosomal RNA, 492 nt
Filed under: uncultured bacterium
Lineage: Bacteria
Description: partial 16S ribosomal RNA
Rfam family: Bacterial small subunit ribosomal RNA
Source: RNAcentral